RNAcentral lists this long non-coding RNA (1130 nucleotides) under Homo sapiens (human). RNAcentral's name for it is "PREDICTED lncRNA (TCONS_00253423)". The record is from RNAcentral. Lineage: Eukaryota; Metazoa; Chordata; Mammalia; Primates; Hominidae.
GCGGCGGCAUGGGGGCGGUGGGGCUCCGCGGGCAGCCUGGUUGCGCUGCACCCGGACGGGGCCGAGGGGACCUGAAAGCUGCGGCAGAGCCUGACCGCGCCGUUCUCCAGAAGAGCCCCGGCCGCGGCUGAGUCGCGCUCCGGGUGUGGACGGAGCCGGAGCCUCCCCGGGGCUCGGUGAGGACACAGGGCCCAAGCCCCGGACCUUCAAGUCUUGACCGAGCGCAUCCCCGGCCCUUCUGCGCCCACACCUGAGUUUUUGUCUGUAGGAGUUUCCGCAGUUUGCUAAGAAUCGACAUCUAGAGGAGUACUCACCACUUAAUUGAUGAUCAAUACACGUUCCUUGAAAGAACCGAUAGCAUGCGAUCGAUACAGAGCAUCUGCACUGGGAUUGUCCGCCCCGCCUGUCAGGGAGGCCUCGGGGGCUAAUGGAGCUGAGGACCUUGCACUUGCUGAAUUAGCUGGGACCAUCCAGAUGGAUAAACUGGCUCAUCUGAUCUUGUGGCCCGCACUCAGCAACCGGCUCAGGCCAAGAGGACAGCUUUGAUCCAUACGAUUUCAUCUCUGAUCUGACCCCUCAGUGCUCCCAGCUUACUGGCCCCCUACCUACCAAAUUAUCCUUAAAAACUCUGAACUCCAGGGCUGGGCACGGUGGCUCACACCUGUAAUCCCAGGACUCUGGGAGGCCGAGGCAGGCGGAUCACUUGAGGUCAGAAGUUCAAGACCAGCCUGGCCAACAUGGCAAAACCCCGUCUCUACUAAAAAUACAAAAAUUAGCCAGGCGUGGUGGUGCACGCCUGUAAUGCCAACUACUUGGGAGCCUGAGGCAGGAGAAUUGCUUGAACCCUGAAGGCGGAGGUUGCAGUGUGCUGAAAUCGCACCACUGCACUCCAGCCUGGGCAACAGAGCAAGACUCCAUCUCAAAAACAACAGCAAAAACUCUGAACUCCGAAUUCUUGGGGAAAUUGAUUUGAGUAAUAAUAAAACUCUGGUCUCCCGCACAGCCAGCUCUGUGUGGAUUAUUCUUUCUCUAUGCAGUUCACCUGUUUGGAUAAAUCAGCUCUGUGUAGGCAACAUGAACCUGAUUGGCAGUUACAGUAGCCUGUAAUCCCAGCUACGUGGGAGGCUGAG